This is a long non-coding RNA of Nyctereutes procyonoides (raccoon dog), 1589 nucleotides long. RefSeq lists it as uncharacterized. Lineage: Eukaryota; Metazoa; Chordata; Mammalia; Carnivora; Canidae. The transcript has 3 exons. The record is from RefSeq and is a predicted model, not a curated record.
UGGCUGCUAGGGCCCUGACCCGGGGCUGCGGUGACUCAUGGGAGGAGGGCUCGUGUAGCCAGGCCCUGCUGGCAAGUCUCAGCUGCAGGGAGCUGGCUGACCUGCUUAGCUCGAAGCUCCAAUCCUGGGGUCACUUCACACACAUGCUUCCUGCCCCUCUGCCAGUCUCUGAGUGCCUCAAAGGGCUCCCUGGGGCUGCAGUGAAGACCCGGCCCCGCCAGAAGGCAGGUGGAGAGAAGUGACAGCAGAGCCAGGCUGUGCCAGAGCGAGAGCCACUGGAUCGAAACCAGGAUGAAUCAGAUUGAUCACAAAGCCCGGUGUCCGUGGUGUGCACCCCCUGCGCCAGCCACCCAACCUCACACGUGAUGCCCCAGCUGCUCUGAGCCACUCCAGUUCUUGGAACCUCUCCUGCUUCCUCACCUCUGCAGACAACUGGCUCUUCCUUUUUCUGGGCACCUUUUCCACUCCUAAUCUGCUUGGUCAACCCCUCCUGAACUCCCAGGUUUCACAUCCAUGAACAUCCACUCCCCCAGGAAGCCCCGCCACCUGCGCUCGGUCCAGCUCUCCCACCACCAGCAGCAGCAUCACAGUCUCUUCUGGAGGCAGUGACAAAGAAGCUCAACCCAAACUGACAUAAAGAUGCCACAUGUUGGGAUACCUGGGUGGCCUAGCGGUUGAGCAUCUGCCUUUGGCUCAGGGCAUAAUCCCAGAUUCCCGGGUUUGAGUCCCACGUCGGGCUCCUAGCAUGGAACCUGCUUCUCCCUCUGCCUGUGUCUCUGCCUCUCUCUGUAUCUCUCGUGAAUAAAUAAAUAGAAUCUUUAAAAAAAAAAAAAGGUGCCACAUGUUGGCUCAUGAGCCUCAAGGCUGGACUUGCUGCAGGCGAGACUUCACCCGGGAAUCGCCCAGGAGAACCUGUCCUCCUGCCUCGGGUGGCCUAGACCUGUGGUCCCCAGGGCAGCUGCAGGUUGUUCGGGACCACACACUCUCCCAUCAAAUUUUAUAUUUAAGUGUAUAUUAUUUAUGUUAGAUAUUUCAUAUUUGUAUUAUUAAGUGUUAUUGUAUUAUUAAAAUUUAUGCUUUAAAUAUGAAUUUCAUAUACAAUUGUGAAAUUUUCAUAGAACAUUUGCAUAUGAAAUUUACAUGUAUAAGAUAAAGAAGGAAAAAGGAGAGAAUUUUACAGGAAAUGCUGUUCCCUCUCCUCCUCUUCCUUCUCUGCUGGCCUGGGUCCUCGGGCCACGGUGAAAAGGAGUUCUAGCAGAAGCCUUAGAGGAGAAGCUGUGUAAAGCUUAGUGGCGUGUCUUUAAGAACUCAGUGUCGGAUGGAGAGCAGUUAGCAUUUCAAAUGUGCGUACCCUUGAUCCGACAAUUCCACUUUUAUGAAUGUAUCCUGUAAAUACAUGACACUUGUUCAAAAUAACACACUCACAGGGUUAUUCAUGGUAGCAUUAUUUGUAAUACUGAACAGUUCAAAAAAAGCUUUAAUUGCCAUUAAGAGGUGAUUGGUUAAACAAAUUAUAGUAUAUUUAUAUAAUGGAACUAUGAUAAUGUGCUGUCAUUAGCCAAGAAUGAGGUAUCUCUCCAGUGGUAUGA